This 110-nucleotide transfer RNA is filed under the name Zymoseptoria tritici IPO323. RNAcentral's name for it is "Zymoseptoria tritici tRNA-Ala for anticodon AGC". It matches the Rfam family "tRNA". Rfam says of the family: Transfer RNA (tRNA) molecules are approximately 80 nucleotides in length. Their secondary structure includes four short double-helical elements and three loops (D, anti-codon, and T loops). RNAcentral also lists the same sequence under 1 other name. Lineage: Eukaryota; Fungi; Ascomycota; Dothideomycetes; Mycosphaerellales; Mycosphaerellaceae. The record is from Rfam by way of RNAcentral.
GGGCGUUUGGCGCAGCUGGUAGCGCGCAUCCUUAGCAAGGAUGCGGGCUGAGCAAUCAGUUCCGCAAAAUUGACUGGAUGAGGUCGUGAGUUCGAGUCUUACAUCGUCCA